This 142-nucleotide non-coding RNA is filed under the name Nocardioides sp. Its description in RNAcentral is "FMN sequence". It matches the Rfam family "FMN riboswitch aptamer (RFN element)". Rfam says of the family: The RFN element is a highly conserved domain that is found frequently in the 5'-untranslated regions of prokaryotic mRNAs that encode for flavin mononucleotide (FMN) biosynthesis and transport proteins. The record is from RNAcentral. RNAcentral also lists the same sequence under 1 other name. Lineage: Bacteria; Bacillati; Actinomycetota; Actinomycetes; Propionibacteriales; Nocardioidaceae.
UCGCGUGCUCUGGGGUCGGUGUAAUUCCGAGCCGGCGGUGACUGAGAGAUCAGAAGUCCGCGACCCGGUCACAGCCAGUGACCGGUUGACCAGGUGAGAAUCCUGGACCGACGGUGAAAGUCCGGAUGGGAAGCGCACGCAG